Molecule: ribosomal RNA, 497 nt
Filed under: uncultured bacterium
Lineage: Bacteria
Description: partial 16S ribosomal RNA
Rfam family: Bacterial small subunit ribosomal RNA
Source: RNAcentral
GAUGAACGCUGGCGGCGUGCCUAAUACAUGCAAGUCGAGCGAACAGAUGAGGAGCUUGCUCCUCUGACGUUAGCGGCGGACGGGUGAGUAACACGUGGAUAACCUACCUAUAAGACUGGGAUAACUUCGGGAAACCGGAGCUAAUACCGGAUAAUAUAUUGAACCGCAUGGUUCAAUAGUGAAAGAUGGUUUUGCUGUCACUUAUAGAUGGAUCCGCGCCGCAUUAGCUAGUUGGUAAGGUAACGGCUUACCAAGGCAACGAUGCGUAGCCGACCUGAGAGGGUGGUCGGCCACCCUGGAACUGAGGCACGGUCCAGACUCCUACGGGAGGCAGCAGUAGGGAAUCUUCCGCAAUGGGCGAAAGCCUGACGGAGCAACGCCGCGUGAGUGAUGAAGGUCUUCGGAUCGUAAAACUCUGUUAUUAGGGAAGAACAAAUGUGUAAGUAACUAUGCACGUCUUGACGGUACCUAAUCAGAAAGCCACGGCUAACUACGUG